CUGCACCAGAAUCAAGCUGCCCUUCCCAUCAAAACAGUAUGCAGUGGCUUCCCAUCCUGCACCACAGCUGCUUCCCACCAUGCAUCACGACUACUGGGGUGUUAAAGCCUGGUCCAUAGCAGUUGUGGGAGACCCAGGGCUCCUUGUCGCAUGAGUGCCAGAGAUUCAGAAGCUGGAAUGUGAACCUCUGUGACAGACAAGGAUAUGAGCACCACGCUACUGCACCAGCACCACGCCUGCUGCCAUGCUCCCUGCCCUGACGUGAAAUGAACUCACCAUCUGGAACACUAGGCUCCAUCUAACUCUUCAUUCUCUACGUUGCCUUGGUCACAGCAUCUUCUCACAGUAACAGAAAAGUGACUGAGACAGCCAGUCAGCUGCCUGCCUCCUAAAGCAGGGUGACAGUUUCACAAGAAAUCGCAACUCCCAAAGGGGGAAAUAGUCUGAAUUUGCCAUCAGGUGAUACACAGCUGCUGGAAAAAGAACCAAAAGGAAUGUCUGACUCCCAGAGCACAGCUGUCACUUGGCAACUAUGUGUGAUGCGGCUCAAGUCACCGGGGAUGAGAAAGGACUCAAGGGACAGGCUUAAUACGGCUCUAGGAAAAGCAGGCUGCCUCUACGUCCUUCAGACCCGAGUUGGGAUUUAAGAGGUGGCAGGAAUCAAAAGACUUUAUUCUGGCCUCCUCCUUUGCAUGUGUUAAAAAAUCAGUCACCUGAA
This is a long non-coding RNA of Myodes glareolus (Bank vole), 718 nucleotides long. RefSeq lists it as uncharacterized. The record is from RefSeq and is a predicted model, not a curated record. Lineage: Eukaryota; Metazoa; Chordata; Mammalia; Rodentia; Cricetidae.